RNAcentral lists this ribosomal RNA (450 nucleotides) under uncultured bacterium. RNAcentral describes it as "bacterial SSU rRNA". It matches the Rfam family "Bacterial small subunit ribosomal RNA", at positions 354 to 796 of the family's 1533-position model. The record is from RNAcentral.
GUGGGGAAUAUUGCACAAUGGGCGCAAGCCUGAUGCAGCAAUGCCGCGUGUGUGAAGAAGGCCUGCGGGUUGUAAAGCACUUUCAGUAGGGAAGAAAACCCCAGGGUCAAUACCCCUGAGGCUUGACGUUACUUACAGAAGAAGCACCGGCUAACUCCGUGCCAGCAGCCGCGGUAAUACGGAGGGUGCGAGCGUUAAUCGGAAUUACUGGGCGUAAAGCGCGCGUAGGUGGCUUAGUAAGUCGGUUGUGAAAGCCCCGGGCUCAACCUGGGAAUUGCAUUCGAUACUGCUAGGCUAGAGUAUGGGAGAGGGAAGUGGAAUUCCGGGUGUAGCGGUGAAAUGCGUAGAUAUCCGGAGGAACACCAGUGGCGAAGGCGGCUUCCUGGACCAAUACUGACACUGAGGUGCGAAAGCGUGGGGAGCAAACAGGAUUAGAAACCCUGGUAGUCC